Molecule: RNA transcript, 1741 nt
Organism: Spinacia oleracea (spinach)
Lineage: Eukaryota; Viridiplantae; Streptophyta; Magnoliopsida; Caryophyllales; Amaranthaceae
Gene name: zinc finger protein ZAT9
Exons: 5
Source: RefSeq, a predicted model, not a curated record
CCCAUCAAUUUAAACCCAAAAAUAAAUUUAAUUUUUUUUUCUUUUUUUCUUUUGGGUGUUUUGUAUAUAUUCCCCGUUGGUGGAGGAAUGCUUGUCACCUACUCAUAUUGUAGCUUCCAAUCUCCACUUUCUCUCUCCUCUCUCUCUCACACACACACUAACUUUUGUGCAAAAAAACUCUCCACACCUCACGCAAAGUUCACCCCCUUCCCUUACUCAUAGAAAAAGUGCAAAUUUUACUUCUUUCUACUAAAAAAAGCUUAUUCUUAGUUUAGUUUUACUUCAUUUCCCCUGUUUUUUUUAUGCUUACAAAAUGGAGAGGCAAAGGUGUAAGCUUUGUUAUAGGAAGUUUGCUAAUGGGAGAGCUUUAGGAGGCCACAUGAGGUCUCACAUGAUGAAUCUACCAAUCCCUCCUAAACCCGACCCGCCGCGCCCGCUACCACCACCACCAAAAAAACUACAAACACCCAGUUGUGAAACCGUGUCGGAAACCGAGUCACCCUCAUCGCCACCUUUCUCUUCCUCCUCGUCAUCGGGUUCUGAACGCGAUGCAGUAGCUGAGCCGACCGGAUCAUCCUCACUCAUUACGCUACAAGAUAGAGAAAGCGAGACUGAGUCGUUUAAGAAGAAUCCAACUCGGAAGCGGCGAUCCAAGCGGAUUAUUUCAAAACCAUCUUCUUCAACUACUUCGUCGGAAUAUCACUUUCAACGACGACAUUACCGCCAUCUGAAUGAGUAUGAUCCUGACGAUUUCAUCAUCAACAACAAUAACAACAACUCAGCCGAGGAGGCUGCGGCGGUGGAAGCACCGGGAAGUUCGGUGUCGGAGGUGACUUCCGAUGAAGACUUAGCCUUCUGCCUUAUGAUGAUGUCACGUGACAAGUGGAACGACGACUGUGAUAUUGGUACAACACGAACAACAACCACAACCCGAACUAGUAACAAGAAGAGAUACAAGUGUGAUACUUGUAACAAAGUUUUCAAAUCUUACCAAGCAUUAGGUGGUCACAGAGCGAGUCACAAGAAACAACGCCUUCGCGAUGACGGCAACGACAGAAUAAUUAGUUAUCUUUACGAAGAAGACGAAAGAUUGGAGGAAGAACUGGAGAAGAAGGUUCAUGAAUGUCCAGUUUGUUACAGAGUGUUUGCUUCAGGACAAGCUCUUGGUGGGCAUAAGAGAUCUCAUGUUCUUGCUAACAACAACACUAAUUCUCCUAAGAAGAGUAAGAAGAUGGUUAUUACUGAUAAUGAGAGUUUGAUUGAUCUUAAUCUUCCUGCUCCGGUUGACGACGAUGAUGAUUCAGCUGUUUCGGAUGUUCAUUUCUGAUCAGAAUUAAAUAGAAAAAAGAAAAGUCAAAAGAUUUGAAAAUACAAGAUUUCAAAGUACAAGAUUUGAAGUUGGGUUAAAAGUUCAUAACGAGAUCAAAUAACGAACAACAUACGGGAUAUUAUGACAGAGUCAGUAACUGGGCGACAACAACUUGAUUCACUAACCUCGAGAGGCGGACGUCUACUCCAACAGUUUAUUGUAGAUAACUGUGUCAAAAUGCAAGCCAAUAAUUUGAGGUGGAUUGCACUCAACCAAGAUAAGAUACGUGAUGAUUUAUACAAGGGUUUAGAAGAUUAUUUAAAUGUUAGAAAGCAUAAGUGAGAUUCUGAUUUUUUCGUUGAGAUAUGUUAGUUGUAACAAAAUAAUUUUAACUUUAAUUCAUACUUUCGCACACAUCGCGUGCAUAUAAGA